RNAcentral lists this unclassified non-coding RNA (503 nucleotides) under Hevea brasiliensis (rubber tree). The record is from RNAcentral. Lineage: Eukaryota; Viridiplantae; Streptophyta; Magnoliopsida; Malpighiales; Euphorbiaceae.
GAAGACAUGUUCAGUUUGGAGCUGCCUGACCAACGCCGAAAUGGAUUUCUUACCCCCAACCCUGUAACGGUUACAGUGGACAACACCCUGAGUCCUUCUCACACGCUUAUUCAAAUUUUCUGCGAAGAUCACAAAGGUCUUAUGUAUGAUAUGAUGAGAACCCUUAAGGAUUAUAACAUCCAGAUUUGUUAUGGAAGAUUUUUUGCAAGCACAAAAAGGAACUGUGAAGUGGACUUGUUCAUAAUGCAAGCAGAUGGCAAAAAGAUAAUUGACCCCAAUAAACAAAAUGCAUUGUGCUCUCGAUUGAGAAUGGAGCUUCUCCACCCCCUUAGAGUUGCUGUUUUUAGCCGGGGUCCUGAUACAGAGCUGCUUGUUGCUAACCCUGUUGAGUUGUCUGGAAGGGGCAGGCCUCUUGUCUUUUACGAUAUUACACUGGCUCUCCAAACAUUAAGUAUUGGCAUCUUCUCAGUGGAGAUUGGGAGGCACAUGAUUCAUGACCGGGG